CGGCGGACGGGUGAGUAACGCGUGGGUAACCUGCCUCAUACAGGGGGAUAACAGUUAGAAAUGACUGCUAAUACCGCAUAAGACCACAGCACCGCAUGGUGCAGGGGUAAAAACUCCGGUGGUAUGAGAUGGACCCGCGUCUGAUUAGCUGGUUGGUGGGGUAACGGCCUACCAAGGCGAUGAUCAGUAGCCGGCCUGAGAGGGCGACCGGCCACAUUGGGACUGAGACACGGCCCAA
Molecule: ribosomal RNA, 238 nt
Filed under: uncultured bacterium
Lineage: Bacteria
Description: partial 16S ribosomal RNA
Rfam family: Bacterial small subunit ribosomal RNA
Source: RNAcentral